Molecule: unclassified non-coding RNA, 528 nt
Filed under: Hevea brasiliensis (rubber tree)
Lineage: Eukaryota; Viridiplantae; Streptophyta; Magnoliopsida; Malpighiales; Euphorbiaceae
Source: RNAcentral
AGGUUGUACGCUCAAGGCUUCAAGAACAGGGCCACCAUUCUGAGAAGCGUUACUCUGGCGUAGUUGAUUGCAUAAAGAAAGUAUUUCAGCGUGAUGGUUUUCGUGGUUUUUACCGUGGGUGUGCUACCAACCUUCUUAGGACCACCCCUGCUGCUGUUAUUACAUUCACUAGCUUUGAGAUGAUUCACCGGUUUCUUGUUACCCUUUUCCCUCCUGACCCACAUCCUCACACAUUGUGAAAGUGGAUUGAUCUCGAGACUGUUUGUAUGGAUGGACCAACUUGCAUUACCAUGGACAACAAAAUGGAAGAAUUGCUGAGGUUAGGUUGACAUUUAAUGAUGAUACAUUUUCUAGAUUGCUUGUAUUCGGUAUUUAUUUCAGGUAGUUUGCAGCAAGUAGCAACAGUGAUAGAUAUUGAAGCUACAUCAUCCCCCUCAUAGAACUUCUGCAACUAAAAGUAGUUGGAGGGGAAGGAAUUUUUAUGUUAUACUGAAUUACGGAUAGUGAUAAUGACGACAUAAAGGGUGC